Molecule: ribosomal RNA, 253 nt
Filed under: uncultured bacterium
Lineage: Bacteria
Description: partial 16S ribosomal RNA
Rfam family: Bacterial small subunit ribosomal RNA
Source: RNAcentral
UACGUAGGUGGCAAGCGUUGUCCGGAGUUAUUGGGCGUAAAGCGCGCGCAGGCGGUGCGGUAAGUCUCUGGUGAAAGCGCUCGGCUUAACUGGGCGAGGGCCGGGGAGACUGCCACGCUGGAGGGGAGCAGAGGCGAGUGGAAUUCCGGGUGUAGUGGUGAAAUGCGUAGAGAUCCGGAGGAACACCAGUGGCGAAGGCGGCUAGCUGGGCUCUACCUGACGCUGAGGCGCGAAAGCGUGGGGAGCGAACCGG